Lolium perenne is the source of this 1378-nucleotide long non-coding RNA. RefSeq lists it as uncharacterized. Lineage: Eukaryota; Viridiplantae; Streptophyta; Magnoliopsida; Poales; Poaceae. The record is from RefSeq and is a predicted model, not a curated record.
CGGUCCAUGAACCGGCCGACUCUCUUCCUCUUCCCCGCGUACUCUCCGUCUCUCCCCAUCGAUCUCUCCCCCACCACCGCUCCGCCUCGGUUCGUCUUCUUCCAUCGUUCGCCACAUUAACAGUCCGGACUCCUCGCCACAAAUGUUGCCGCCGCGACCCAAGGCCUCCCCUCGCAAAUGCUCAUCAAACUGGCCCAUAAAUCACAACAUUCAUGACUGGAAACUGCUCGAUUCAAAUCAUCCUGAGCAGCCUCCAGGUUAAAACCAUGCCGUGCUACCGUCCGCAUCAAACGCGCGCUUGCUUGCGCCCCCACCUCCACUCUGGUACAUGGCUGCUCCCCGUUUUAAUUCCCCCAUUGUUUUCUCCAAUCCCUCAACAUAUAAUCCCAAUCUGCAUGGCUGAGGUCCGGAUUGAAACCCGCUCGACAUUUUUCCCCUGGACCUGAUUUGAUAUGAUUCUGCCAGCCGCUAUCUCAAAUCCCAGGAUUUCUGGCUUGAGAUCCGCUAGCCUUUCUUCCCUGCACCCGAUUUGGUUUGAUCCUGCCUGCUGCUACCUCGAAUCCCUCGAUUUAUUUUUAUUGGAUUCAAGCAAUCAUCGCAUGUACCGCGUAUAUUUUAAUUCUCCUGCUUCCGUGCGUAUGCAAGUUUUCAUCUCCUGCUCUUAAAUUUUAAUUUACAUUGGAUUGGAUGAGCAGAUGCCUCUAAUUUACCUUUUAUUUUAGUUUCCGCCCUUCAAUUGUAGCAUAAUAUUACAACAUUAAUUUUGUUUCACAACGAUUGAACUUCAAGCUUUCCCUUUCUGUUUGGUUCAGGUGUGGAUCAAGACGAAUUUCACAUGAAGGAUAGUCAAGAAAAUGAUUAUGUAGGUAAGGAGGAGUCAUGAACUAAAAUACUGCUAUCUUUUUUACCAGUGGUGGCGAAAACAUACCAGGCUCAACUAGAAUGUAGUGGAAUUUGGUAGUGGUGAUGAAAAUAUGGCAUGGACGAAAUGUCUAACCUUUUUGUCAGUUUGGCAUGGUUCAAGGGUUUGCUAGAUGUUUUGACUUCUAUUGGAGGCAAUGAAUCAUCUUCAACUCUAAAAUUCUGGAUGGCAAUACCAAUACGGAAAGAUACGUGCAGGAGUCGCCAAUCUUUCAACUCUUUAUGUGUUAAUGGACUAUAUAUUUACAGUCUUUCGCGAAGAUUGGUUGGGUUAGUCUACAAAUAUCCCGGGUUUUUUGUAAUUCGAGAAGAAUGUGUAAACCAUUUAUGUACGGCAUGCCAUUUACAUUGUACUAGAAACACUUCAACGUGGAAUGUGGUACUUUCUUUCUUCUAAAAAAAACUUGCAUCUGCGGUGCUCUAAUUUGUACAAUCGUGACAACUGUUGAACCAUUCU